AUGCAACUGAUCAGAGACCUAGUGACUGGUAAAAUUAGGAACACAGAAGGCAGCAUUUGGUGCCAAUGGACAUUGUUAAAUAAUCAGAGCUGGUUUUUUAAUCAGACACAGAACCGCAAGAAUGGCAUCAGUGGUGGUAGUGAUGAUGGUCACCUCUUCAAGAAGGAUCUUCCUGGGAGUCACCGUGUGCUAGGAUGUGGUCUGAGAGUGGUGGGAAAGAGAGAAAGUGGCCCCUUCCUGAAGUCAAAUCAUUGGUUCCAGAAGACUGCCUCCCACUGGGGACUACAGAGAAGAGAGAAAGGGCUUCAAGAAUCCAAUUACCAUCUGGUGGUAUGCUAUAGGGAAGUGCAAUUCUUCUGCAUCAGCAAACACAAAAUGCAGCAGUUUGGUGAGCAAGCUGGCAGCUUCCAGAGCUUGGAGCAAAAAGGAAGGACCCAGAGGACCAUAAGCAAGAUUAAAAUGGAAAUGAUAAACUGGAUAAAUAGUUGCAAUAAGUAGCACAAAGGGCUAACCUCCUUAAUGUGGAAAGAAGUCCUAGAAAUGGAGAAGACAAGAAUAAUCAGCCCGUAGAAAAAUGAGAAAAGCAAAUACACAUAGAGUGCACAGAAGGAAAAAGAGAAAUAAAAUGUCACUUUAAAAAAUGAAAUGAGGGUAC
RNAcentral lists this long non-coding RNA (655 nucleotides) under Vulpes vulpes (red fox). RNAcentral's name for it is "lncRNA (ENSVVUG00000029356.1)". Lineage: Eukaryota; Metazoa; Chordata; Mammalia; Carnivora; Canidae. The record is from RNAcentral.